CAAUAGCGUAUAUUAAAGUUGUUGCGGUUAAAAAGCUCGUAGUUGGAUUUCUGCUGAGGACGACCGGUCCGCCCUUCGGGUGAGUAUCUGGUUUGGCCUUGGCAUCUUCUUGGUGAACGUAUCUGCACUUGACUGUGUGGUGCGGUACCCAGGACUUUUACUUUGAGGAAAUUAGAGUGUUUCAAGCAGGCAUACGCCUUGAAUACAUUAGCAUGGAAUAAUAAGAUAGGACCUCGGUUCUAUUUUGUUGGUUUCUAGAGCUGAGGUAAUGAUUAAUAGGGAUAGUUGGGGGCAUUCGUAUUUAACUGCCAGAGGUGAAAUUCUUGGAUUUGUUAAAGACGGACUACUGCGAAAGCAUUUGCCAAGGAUGUUUUCAUUGA
RNAcentral lists this ribosomal RNA (380 nucleotides) under uncultured eukaryote. RNAcentral's name for it is "partial 18S ribosomal RNA". It matches the Rfam family "Eukaryotic small subunit ribosomal RNA", at positions 592 to 976 of the family's 1831-position model. The record is from RNAcentral.